This 311-nucleotide long non-coding RNA is filed under the name Salvia miltiorrhiza (redroot sage). Its description in RNAcentral is "long non-coding RNA (SMIL_LNC004454)". Lineage: Eukaryota; Viridiplantae; Streptophyta; Magnoliopsida; Lamiales; Lamiaceae. The record is from RNAcentral.
AAAGAGAGAGGGAGAGAGUAGUGAUUAUUAUCCAAAACAUAAUUUAGUGAAAAUGGGAAAAAUGUGUUUCAUCCACAAAAUGAGAAAAAAAAAAUAAAAAAUAGGAAGAACAACAAUUAAUAACAUUAAAUGGUGGGUAGUUUUUGUUUUUGUUGUUAGUUAACAUUCUCGGUAGAUUUUAUGAAAUAGAUAAUGUGUUUAUACCAAAAAUGUGUUUUAUCCACAAUAUGAGAAAAAAAAAAAAAAAGAGGAAGAACAACAAUUAAUAACCUCAAAUUGUGGGCAGUUUUUUUUGUUAGUUAACAUUCUCG